This 253-nucleotide ribosomal RNA is filed under the name uncultured bacterium. RNAcentral describes it as "partial 16S ribosomal RNA". It matches the Rfam family "Bacterial small subunit ribosomal RNA", at positions 524 to 776 of the family's 1533-position model. The record is from RNAcentral.
GACGAAGGAUGCAAGCGUUAUCCGGAUUCAUUGGGUUUAAAGGGAGCGUAGGCGGCCCUGUAAGUCAGUGGUGAAAUCUUCGAGCUUAACUCGGAAAUUGCCAUUGAUACUGCAGGGCUUGAGUACAGUUGCUGUGGGCGGAAUAUGACAUGUAGUGGUGAAAUACAUAGAGAUGUCAUAGAACACCGAUUGCGAAGGCAGCUCACAAAACUGUAACUGACGCUGAGGCUCGAAAGUGCGGGGAUCAAACAGG